AUCUUCGCUGUUGAGUAAUGUAUCCUUUACCUUCAACUCGACCAGCGUCUCUCUACUGUGGACGGAGGUGAUACUUUCUCUGCAAGUGAUUCUGGUUCUUUAGCAGAUCCUUAUGAUAUCGAACAGGCAGAA
This 132-nucleotide small RNA is filed under the name Arabidopsis thaliana (thale cress). RNAcentral describes it as "ATSL304310". The record is from RNAcentral. Lineage: Eukaryota; Viridiplantae; Streptophyta; Magnoliopsida; Brassicales; Brassicaceae.